GGUUGAUCCUGCCAGUGGCCAUAUGCUUCUUUCAAGGACUAAGCCAUGCAAGUGUCAGAGGAAUGCCCUGAAGCAUGGGUCUGCGAAUGGCUCAUUACAACAGCAACAAUCCAAAUGGCUGUAGGGUGGCAGCUCAAACACCUCAAGUGUGGCAUCCAUCAAGCCCAACUGGCUGGUUAGUACGUGCAUGUGUUGCUCACCUCAAACAACAUUCCAGGAUCCUUGUUGGUCCUGGAUGGAGGGGGGCAGCAACUGGCUGGGAACAAAGGCUGGUGCCUGACCAAGGCAGUUC
Molecule: ribosomal RNA, 292 nt
Filed under: uncultured eukaryote
Lineage: Eukaryota
Description: partial 18S ribosomal RNA
Rfam family: Eukaryotic small subunit ribosomal RNA
Source: RNAcentral